RNAcentral lists this long non-coding RNA (248 nucleotides) under Mytilus galloprovincialis (Mediterranean mussel). The record is from RNAcentral. Lineage: Eukaryota; Metazoa; Mollusca; Bivalvia; Mytilida; Mytilidae.
CAAAAACUUUUAAAAUGUCUGACCUGUAACGUAUCCUUUCUGGGGGUGUUGUUGUUCUGUAAAUUCCUCCACUGGCUGGAGAAACACUGCAUAAAAUUUGGCAACUAUCUAUUAAAAUCUAAAACUGAGAAUGUAGGGCAAGCAGGAUGAUCCCUACUAGAGUCUCAUUUAAUACCAAAAUGUCUAUAGUUCACAGAAUAUGAUCAUCUUAGUUCACUUAAAAUGGAUGUUCAGUAUUUUGCUACGGG